UAAAUGAGAAAGGUAGUCAUGUCCCAUCCGUCCACCCCCACUUUAUCCCCUCACUCACACAUGGACGUUAUCUAAUUUGCUGAUCUAUCCAAAUAAGGCUUAGGAUUAUGAUAAUUACUGAUAUAUCCCACAUACCAGUGCAUAGACACCACAUUGUGAUUUUUUUCACUUUAAUAACAGUUGCCAGAGGGAACAUCAUACCAAGAAGAUAUAUAUGGGCUACUACAGUACCUUUAUUACACAGGAGAUUUGAAAAGAGAUUUCAAGCUUGCCUGGUACCCGCAAAUGUUUGUGUUGCCUAGGACGCCAAGAUAGCUUGUAAAGCAAUCAGCCUCUCCCUAAAGGAACCCAGGACCUAUUUCGAAGGUAGAUUGCCUGACCUUGCAUCAACCCAAGUUUCAACCACAGCAAUUGGACAACAGGUGUAUGUGUUCCCGGCUCCGCACAGGUUCCUGGACACAUCUUAAUGGAGGUUAAUGAAACAAGAACAUCAGCAAGAUGUCUGGUCAGCUGGAUGUGGAUAUGGAUUUCAACAGGACAGAAACCAGGGAGUGUUCUCGGUGUUGGAACAGACCAUGUGUACUCAGUCAGCCAUCCAGUUUUAAGUUGAAGGCUUGCAGUAUCAGGAAGCCCUACAAUUUUAAUUUGAAAGCCCAAGCCCCAACCGAGUGAGAUGCCCAGUUAUGACCAUAGUCUGACACAGCACAACAGUAGUAAAGUUGUUCAUUGAGUCUUUUAUGUAGGUACAUGUACAUUAAUUAUCAGUACUUAAUUUCCUAUAUUUUGAAAGCAGUUACAUGUAAUUAUCAACAGUACUAGCAUACUGUUAUACAAACCUUAAUACUCUUUGUGUUUGUUGUGUUUUAGACUUAGGUUCAUGCCAAGAAUAGCUUGCCUUUUCUUUGAUCUAAUUAAAAAUAUCUUAUCAAAUCAAUACAUAGGCAUACAAAUCUAAUAUUUAGAAUACUCACCAACUAAAAUUAUUUCAUCCUCAGCUUUUUCAAAAGUCCUAUAUACCAGCAUGAACCAUUGGACAAGGUGUCUCUGAGUAAAAUUUUUUGAUUAUUAAUUCAGGAUUUCUCAAGCAAAGCACAAGAUUCUUGAAGAGUUAAAUGGGCAGACUAAAGGUCGAACAGUAAGUAAUAAACUAGAGGGCAGAGUAUCAAGUUUUUCAUAUCAUAGUUUUUCAUGCUACAUGUAGUACCAUCAGAGACCAAAUAUCAAAUAUAAAUGAACAUCGAUUCAUCUUGUUGUACUUCCAUAUUGUUACAUUGUUGUCACUGGAUUUCUGUUUUAAUUAUUAUCAAGCAACCAUGCUCAUCAUUUUCUUCCAUAUACUGUGUCAACUUUCCACUUUUUAUACAUUUUGCCUCAACUAACUGUACUCAAAAAUGUAAAAUGCUAAACCUGCCUUACUCUGUUCUACUAUAUAGCAUGUGUGAAUGCAAUCUUUUCUAAAAUGCAGAAGAGCAUACUUUUUAUAACAUGCAAUUUUUACUGUGUUCUUCCAGGCCUGUAAUACAGAUGAAGAGAUCAUAUCUGCCUAAAACUGUGCUACAAUAUAGGUCACUAUGCCUGGAAGACAGGAAGACUGGGUUCCCAUUGCUACUAACAAUAUCUAUUCAUCUCAGAGGGUUUCUCACUAAAUAGCUUUCAGUUUAAGUGGCUAAAUAUCUGGCAUGCCUACUGAAGCUGCUAAAUGAUAAUUUUUUAUCAGUAGGGAUAUCAGACAUCUAAGCCCCUUAAGUUGAUUGCAACAGAGAUAGAUCGACAGCACAACAUUCCUCCAGUGGCUUCACACCUGGUCAUGCACCAGAAGACAGGUAAAAUACUCCUUAAUAUGGUGACCUAAUGCAAAAAUAUAGACCAUGGACUGACUGAGAAUGCAAAGUCCACUUAAUACAAAAAAGGCAUGCUUUUUUCAAACAUUUUUUUUUCAAUGUCAACUGGAAAAAAUCCAACACCAAUGCUGAUGAUAUGAUAAAGGAAAUAAGGACACAUAAAGUUUAUUGUUCCACAAAGUGCUAACUGUCUUAUGUCAAGGUUUGUGUUGUAAUAAUAAUAACACCCAUGGUAUGGACCUUGAUCCCCUUUCUUGGCAUUACUAUUUCUUUUAUUUUCAUCCCAAACAAAUUAAAAAACCCUACUCCAGUCCACACAGCCAUUAUAUGGAUAGGAAGAAAAGAUGUUUUUUAUGCACUUUAAUACAGUCAAGAAUUGUAAGAGAGUUUGAUUCAUUUUAUCAAGCUGCACAUCUGCCAAAACAUUCUUCAUUGUUAGUAUCUUGCCUGCAGCUCAUGUACUGCUCCAUGGAUAGUAACAAUUACUCUUUUGUGGUGCUGUUUUUUCUACAUUUCAGUAAUAUAACUCAAUAUUGUUGGGAUCACGACAUGUGCAUUGAACUUCAGUCCUCAUUUUCUCUAUACACAAUUUGUUCAAUGUUUCUUUCUUUAUAUUUUUCAGGUGGGCAAACAGGUUCUUCCAAAACAGCUAAUAAGUUGAGAAGACUAUGUAUAGCAAAUGAACUUCGAGUGUUCCAACCAUCUUGAUGGAAUAAGUCAUGGACAAAAGAGGGGAAACAGACUUAUCUUGUUACUUAUUCUCUAUGACAGAUGUAUUUUUCUUGAUUAGGAAAUAAACAUACAAUAUGUACCUGUAUACAUAAUAAUACUAAAGAAUCUGCAACAUAUGAUUUUUAUUUCUCGGGGAGGUAAUCAUUUAAAAUGAUAUAUAUUCAAGUUGGAAACAAUAUGGAAUAUGGAAGUCAUUCACAGAAUAUCAAUUUUAAGGUGUGGUGUAUUACUCUACCAAUUUCAACACAUUCAGUUUGAAAACUGGACUCUUCUAUU
Lingula anatina is the source of this 2849-nucleotide long non-coding RNA. The record is from RefSeq and is a predicted model, not a curated record. Lineage: Eukaryota; Metazoa; Brachiopoda; Lingulata; Lingulida; Lingulidae.